UGUUUCGGCUAGGGGGUCAUCCCGACUUACCAACCCGAUGCAAACUACGAAUACCGAAGAAUGUUAUCACGGGAGACACACGGCGGGUGCUAACGUCCGUCGUGAAGAGGGAAACAACCCAGACCGCCAGCUAAGGUCCCAAAGUCACAGUUAAGUGGGAAACGAUGUGGGAAGGCACAGACAGCCAGGAUGUUGGCUUAGAAGCAGCCAUCAUUUAAAGAAAGCGUAAUAGCUCACUGGUCGAGUCGGCCUGCGCGGAAGAUGUAACGGGGCUAAACUGUGCAC
This 285-nucleotide ribosomal RNA is filed under the name Klebsiella aerogenes. RNAcentral describes it as "partial 23S ribosomal RNA". It matches the Rfam family "Bacterial large subunit ribosomal RNA", at positions 911 to 1194 of the family's 2925-position model. Lineage: Bacteria; Pseudomonadati; Pseudomonadota; Gammaproteobacteria; Enterobacterales; Enterobacteriaceae. The record is from RNAcentral.